This is an RNA transcript of Trachymyrmex septentrionalis, 6531 nucleotides long. It is a transcript of the gene named kinase D-interacting substrate of 220 kDa, with no coding region annotated. The record is from RefSeq and is a predicted model, not a curated record. The transcript is spliced from 22 exons. Lineage: Eukaryota; Metazoa; Arthropoda; Insecta; Hymenoptera; Formicidae.
AUGCGGAAGGCCAAAGACGAACGUAUUAGAAUUGCGGCGGCGUUCUUCCGUAACAGUUUCGAUGAAGACGACAAUGAUGGGAAGGAGGACAAAGCCGCACCAACAAAAGAAUCGGAAAAAAAUGUUUCACAAACAACCUCUGAUGACGAUUCGACAAAAGUCGAAAGAAAGACCAGCGUCACAAAAGCAGAGAUUUCUUCAAAAUUGGACUUACCUAGCCUUGAACUUGCGACUUCCACUUUAUGCGUGAGAGAUCGCAUCUUUAAAUGCUUACAAUCGUUAAACUCCAGCUCGUCAUCGAACAAUGUAGACGAGUACGCAAUAUCAGAUCGUCGUAACACAAAAGAAGAAUACAAUAAGAACAGUGAUGUGAUUUCAAAAAUCGAAACACGGAGAUUGUCAGUGCCGACGGAUUCCGACUGUGUCUUCCCUUCCCUCAAACACGAAGAUGUCAUUACGAAGGAGUCAUCUGCGAGGUUUCAACCUUCAUCAAUCGGCGACCACCCAAUGCGCACUCCUACGAAACCAACUACUACGGCUAAAUCGAAACAAUCUCAAUUGACGCCCGACUUCUUAAGGGUUCCUUCGGGAUCUAGCGAACACUCUCGUUUCUCGACAUUAUCAGAACGAUCGACAAGUGCGAAAGAACGCUCGGAUGUCGAGAAAGUACAUAAUACAGUGCCACAACCAUUGAUAGCCGUUAUUCGAGACAGUUUCGAUGAGAAAUCCAGCGGUGGUCGCAGAUUAACAUUGCCAAUGACGAGCUCUGAUUUGAACCAAACCUUGCUAAACCCUGCGACGAAGACCAGCCAAAAGUCGCCAACCUUUGACAAUAUCUUAGCUGGCACCAGCGUGAACCCAAUCCGGAAGUCCAGCAUAGCAAACGCAGCUAUCUGUUCGAGUUUGGCUCCCAGCUUGCUCGGAGCUAUUCCCGGUGUGCCGAAUUCUCUCUUACCGAAUGGAGACUACAAUCUGCAACGAAGUGCCACGUUGUCGAAUCUGUCAACCACCUCCACCACCAUCAGCGACGACAUUUCCAUUGAUAGAACGCGUCGCGGAUUAAGAUCGUUUCUUCGUCUUCACAUACCCGAGUCGCAUCCUGCGACCUGGCACGACGAGGACUACCAUCAUCACUUGCACAAUCAUCACCACCAUCAUCACCAUGUGUUCUCGCACAUUCACGUACCCACCAUCACCUUCACAGCGCCAGCCACCGAUGGUAUCGGUCGCAAGUUUAACUUCGCCAUCCGAAGGCAUUCACAGGCGACAUUGCAUCGGACUGACUCGAUGGUAUCGCUUUGUUACCGAUCACUCGCGAGCUAUAUCUCAGAUGAUAAUCUCGUCGGACUGCAAAGCUUCCUCGAAAAUAAGCGAGUGCAGAUCGACGACAGAGAUGAGAACGGUAGUACCGCCCUCAUCCUUGCAGCAACUAAGGGAAAAAUACACUUUGUUCGAGAACUCAUCAAUCAUGGAGCGGACGUUAAUGCUGAAGACGCAGAUAAUUGGACAGCGUUACUGUGUGCAGCGAAGGAAGGCCACACCGAAAUUUGUCUCGAAUUGCUCGAGCACGGCGCCGAUUUGGAGCAUCGAGACAUGGGUGGAUGGACGGCGCUCAUGUGGACAACGUACAAGGGUAAGUCGGCGACGGUGACGAUGCUGCUGGGGCGCGGAGCUGACGUCAACGCGCAUGGAAAUUUUCAUAUAUCCUCGUUAGUAUGGGCCGCUGGCAGGGGUUAUACUGAUAUAGUUAAAGAUCUCAUUGCUCACGGAGCGAAGGUCAAUGUCGGCGACAAGUAUGGGACAACGGCACUUAUAUGGGCAUCGCGCAAGGGAACCAUAGAAAUUGUUGAUAAUCUUCUUAAAGCUGGGGCCAAUGUCGACACAGCAGGCAUGUAUUCAUGGACUGCUCUGGUCGUGGCAACUCUCGGUAAUCACGUGGAGGUGGUAUCGCUACUAUUGGAGUACAAGCCCAACGUCAACGCUCUAGACAAAGAUGGUUGUACCGCCCUAGCGAUUGCCUGCCGUGAAGGUCAUCACGAAAUAGCGAAUGCACUUUUAAAUGCCGGUGCUUACGUUAAUAUUCAAGAUCGUGCUGGUGAUACGAAUCUGAUCCACGCGGUUAAAGGUGGCCAUCGAGGCGUGGUGGAAUCACUGCUGAAAAAAUAUGCGGACGUCGACAUCGCUGGAAAGGAUAAAAAAACCGCAACUUACAUAGCAGUAGAGAAAGGCAAUAUAGCGAUACUCAAAUUAUUACUAAACGCUAACCCAGACCUGGAGAUUGCCACGAAAGACGGCGACACGCCUUUAUUACGGGCGGUGAGGUCGCGUAACGCCGAAAUCGUGCAAUUGCUUUUAGACAAGAAAGCCAAGGUCUCGGCUACGGACAAGAAGGGCGACACUGUACUACACAUAGCGAUGCGCGCGCGAUCGAAAGCGAUCGUCGAGAUACUACUGAGGAAUCCAAAGAAUAGCCAGUUAUUGUACCGUCCGAAUAGACAAGGUGAAACCCCCUACAACAUCGAUGUCAACCAUCCCAAGACGAUGCUUGGUCAGAUAUUCGGUGCUCGGCGCUUAAAUACUAAUGAAGACAAUGAAAACAUGCUUGGUUACGAUUUAUACAGCAGUGCACUGGCAGACAUUCUCAGUGAACCAUCGCUUUCUACACCAAUAACUGUCGGUCUUUAUGCUAAAUGGGGCUCUGGGAAAUCAUUUUUACUGAACAAAUUAAGAGAGGAAAUGAAGAACUUUGCGCGACAAUGGAUCGAUCCAGUAUUCCAAUUCUCUUCCUUACUCUUUUUAGUAGUAGCUCAUGUAACCCUACUUAUGGGUAUCACACUUGGCCUCGCCUUACAGUCGUGGAUUAUUGGUCUGUCGUCUGGAAUAAGUUUACUAGUUGUCGUUUAUAUUUUUCUGAUACUCGUCUGGUAUGCUAAUAAGAGGUACGAUUGGUACUGGCCGUAUAAUCUGACAGUAGCGCUCACCACCAAGCUGAACGCUCUAAAAUUGCUAUUGCAAGUAAUCUUUUGUCAUCCACCAGGCAGCCAAUGUCACGAUGGCAUAGCAGUGCAGCCGAUAAAGUUUUACUUCACAGAUCAAACCCGCGUGGGUACGACUGCUGCCGGUGAGAACGCGGUCGUGCAGAUGGUUGGCUCGCUAUAUGAUUCCAUUGAGAAUGACUACGGUUCUCUGUCUACCAGAUUAUUCAGAGCAUUUCGGCCAAAACCGGAUAAAUCGACCACUACGUGGAAAUGGAGGCAUUUAUGCUGCUUGCCUUACGUAGUCAUAUUUGAAUUCUGCUUAUGCAGCUUGCUUGUCGGUAUUUCGAUACUUACGGUGUACCUCAUAGAUAUUUCCAAUGAUAAAUCCACGAUAGAGCGAGUUACUGCUCACAUUAUCAUGAUAUCGAUCGCCUUGGUAUUGGCCAUCAGUAUAAUAGCAAAUUUAUACACAUGGAGUAGAACACUGCAGGCAUUGGUUUUUUCACAGAGGAGGCACCUUCAACGUAGUAUAUCAAAAUUAGAGACUCUGAAGAGCGAAGGAUUCAUUCAGACUCUAAAAAGCGAAGUCAAUUUAAUGACAGAAAUGGUCAAGUGCUUGGAUAGUUUUAUGGCUCAACAAAGUAGACUAGUUGUAAUAGUGGAUGGUUUGGAUAGUUGCGAACAGGAUAAAGUUUUACUCGUUUUGGACGCUAUACAGGCCUUAUUUAGCGAUAACGGAUAUCCUUUUGUCGUAAUACUCGCAAUUGAUCCACAUAUUAUAUCUAAGGCGGUAGAAGUAAAUAGCAGAAGACUAUUCUCGGAAUCGAAUAUUGGUGGUCAUGAUUACUUGCGGAAUAUGGUGCAUUUGCCAUUUUACUUGCAAAAUAGCGGUUUACGUAAAGUCAAGGUUGCGCAACAGACUGCUCAAUACUAUAAGAAAACGACAUGGACAGAGGCUGAGGAGAGUGUUAACUACACCGCGACUAGCACCAUGCAUCAUUCGGUAUCGAGUAGAAGACUCAGCACGGAAUCAGCUAUAAUGAACAGCAACGAAAAAUUGAAACCCCAAACUAGAAAGGGCAGUAGAAAGAUGCGAUUGAGUGAAUCGAUCGCUAGCAGUAUUGGCAGUAAUUUGAAUCGACUGGGCGGCGCGCAAGAUCUCAAUAAGAUGCUUCUCACUGAUGAUUACUUUAGCGAUGUGAAUCCCCGCAGCAUGAGAAGAUUAAUGAAUGUCGUUUAUGUUACCGGACGAUUACUUAAAGCAUUCCAGAUUGACUUCAACUGGUAUCACUUAGCUAGUUGGAUCAACAUUACUGAGCAAUGGCCUUUUAGGACAUCUUGGCUCAUUCUUCAUUACGACUUAUAUGAGGAAACUCUGGAUGAUAAUAUGUCACUCAAAAGUCUUUACGAUAAGGUGCGACCGCAAAUUCCAGUACUGAAAGAGGUGCAACCACUUCUCGAGAUAGAUAGAGACGAACGCAAAUUGGAUGUUUUUCUCACUUUCCAUCGGUCUAGCUUACUCAUUAGUGAUAUGAAAAUAUUCUUGCCUUUCACUAUUAAUCUAGAUCCGUACAUUAAGAAAAAAAUAAAGGAGGAGCAACAAAGUAUAGAGGAAGAUAUGAAUCUAUUUCAUAAACAAAGUGGUACUUGGCAUGGUCACGGUGUUCCAUUUGAUCAAUGGGCUCCACAAAGAAACACGUCGACAAAUCGACAUGCGAAAUUUGUCAAGCAAUCGAGUUUGCAGGGAUCCGUACCACCGACGCCAUCGUGGGGUUAUCAGCCAAGCUUCGAAUGGCAAGUUCCGCCAGCUUGGAUGCAAAUGCCUUCUAUGGAACCAAUGACAAAACCGCUUUCCGUAACAACUACGUUACCGUCCGAAAUUUUAGAAAUAAAACUGUCGUCCUUAUCAGUGAACGGAGUUUGUGAUCUGAUCGACAAAAUUGAAAGUCUUAAUUCGAUACAAGCACCGAUAUAUAAGCAAGCCAUCAAAGAAAACAAUAUUAAUGGACGAGUUUUAUUACACUGCGAUUUGCAAGAACUAAAAAAAGUAUUUAAAAUGACUUUUGGAGAUUGGGAAUUAUUUCGCAUGGUAAUUGUAUCACUGCGUGAAAUGGAACUCUCGUCAUUCACAUAUGAGGAAGGUCCUCGAAGUGUUCGAUUUACUGUAGGAUCCGAACAAAUUUUACGCAAAGAUCACGCCUUACCAAAUAAUUCCAUACGUGCGUCUGCUCACGUCGAAAAAGAGAAAGGAGCAUCGAGAACGGAUGGAUCAACUCGACGUGAUCAAAAUAAACAAUCUAUCAUGGAAAAACAGGUAACAUUAGAGGAGCAAAUGAUUUGCGGAGCAUUGCAGACCUUGAAUGAAGAAGCUUGCGAGGAUGUUUUAGAUGUGCCAUCGCCAGCGGUGGCUCCAACAACAGACUCACUUUCUUCAGGACCUGUCAUUUCGGUACACGAUACGGAGUAUGUACUGCUUCAAGCCAGUCCGCUGUUUCAUUGGGUACCAAUUAAUGAUGAGCCAGGCAGUUCAGAUGAUAGUUCACAUGACUCCAUCAUGUUCCUUCAACGUACCAAUUCUCAGCGUAGCAUCACAUCUCAACGAAGUACGAAGUCCGCCUGCUCACAUAAGACCCUAAAGAGAAGCGGUAGCAACAUUAGCACUAGACCGUCCUCGCUAUUUAUUUCUCCGCCUUCGUCACCGAAACCUGCGAUCAGAUCGAAGUCGACCGACGAAAGGUGUAUGGGGAAUAAUAUAUCCCAGAAGACCACGUCAUCAUUUGUGUCCACCAAGAGACGCUUGUCCUCGACAUUUAAUGAUGAAGUGAUGAUAUCGGUGCCUACUUCCAGCCUGGAGAAGCUGUCAAGGUUGAAGGACCGUUUAAUUGGCACCGCGCCGACGGCGAGAUCACCGGCACCCGGUGGUGAGAGCGAUGACGAGUCUACACCACUAGUCUCUGAAAUGUCCACGCCAACGCAUUCCCAAUCAGAUAGCGUGUUCAAACAUGAUUGCAGUGCAGAGAAUAGCAGUUCGCCGUCGUCAAACAGGAGUCUACCGCGGGAUGGAGAACGUCGAGACUUGGAUUACUCUGAUACUGUGAGUCUUGUGAUACGCGAGCCCUCGAACGCUCAAUCGCAAUCUCGGCAUAACGCCAAGAUACGGAACGACACAGAGACGCCUGUCUGACACCUGUCGUCUUCUAUACAUGAUAACACGUGAUAACUCGGCGCAUUGUAUGUUUAAUUGAUAUCAAUGUGAUGAAGAUGACUGGCAUCUGUUGAGCAAAUUUAUACGCUGUAAUUCUAUUUUGACGAUAAGCAUCGAGAUAAGAUAUCUUCCUUAUGUAAAUAACGAAUGAUGGAACGAGGAAAUUUUUUAUAACUAGAAUGUUCAUCUGCUUAGUGAUUUGGAGAACGAACAAUGCCUUCUUGCGCAAGUCGUGCAAUAAUCCUUAGUUUAGCGAAACGAUCUCAAGAUAUACGAUGCCGAUGCGACCAUUCCAUGUUCUGACUCUUUCUCACUACUGCUGACCGUCGUCUGGUUCCUGGCCUCUAG